AAGGGCGCACGGUGAAUGCCUAGGCACUAGAAGCCGAUGAAGGACGUAACGAACUGCGAAAAGCUUCGGGGAGCUGUAAGUAAGCUAAGAUCCGGAGAUGUCCGAAUGGGGGAACCCGGUGCAGGAGAUGCAUCAUUGCAUGCUGUUAAGGCAUGU
Molecule: small RNA, 156 nt
Filed under: Lactobacillus amylolyticus DSM 11664
Lineage: Bacteria; Bacillati; Bacillota; Bacilli; Lactobacillales; Lactobacillaceae
Rfam family: Bacterial large subunit ribosomal RNA
Source: RNAcentral